GUUCGCUCACUCUCCCUCCUUAUCCAUUGAACGUAAAGCAAACGAAUUGAACGAAGAGAAAGAAAUUAAACAUCCAACCAUGGACCUUAUUUCUUGCUCCUUCUGCUCCACUCUCCACUCCAAAUCGGCGAGUCUCCGGCAAUUUUUAUCUACUAAUCGUACUAGCUAUAAUUCUACUUCCGCAAAAUGCCGCCUCAAAACGACAUCGGAGCUCCAAACACCGGUGGGAGUUACCGGCCGAGACGGUUAUCAUUCUCCAUCAAUUCCCAUCCAUAAAGUCACUGUUCGUGACAGGCAACGAGGACUCGUUCACGAAUUUCUCGUUCCUGAGGAUCAAUAUAUAUUGCAUACUGCUGAAUCACAGAACAUUUCACUUCCAUUUGCUUGCAGGCAUGGUUGUUGCACUAGCUGUGCUGUACGUGUAAAAUCUGGACAUAUUAGACAGCCAGAAGCACUAGGGAUAUCUGCAGAACUGAAAUCAAAGGGUUAUGCGCUUCUUUGCGUAGGUUUCCCAUCUUCUGAUCUUGAAGUAGAAACACAAGAUGAGGAUGAGGUGUAUUGGCUUCAGUUUGGAAGAUAUUUUGCCCGUGGACCAAUUGAAAGGGAUGACUACGCACUGGAGUUGGCCAUGGGUGAUGAAUAGGCAAUUUGUCACAAGUAAUGGAACCAAAAAGUUAGGAUCCAGCUAGUCUAGCAUCCGGAUUGUUUUUUCCAUCCCUU
RNAcentral lists this unclassified non-coding RNA (720 nucleotides) under Hevea brasiliensis (rubber tree). The record is from RNAcentral. Lineage: Eukaryota; Viridiplantae; Streptophyta; Magnoliopsida; Malpighiales; Euphorbiaceae.